This 269-nucleotide long non-coding RNA is filed under the name Homo sapiens (human). RNAcentral's name for it is "lncAB189.1". Lineage: Eukaryota; Metazoa; Chordata; Mammalia; Primates; Hominidae. The record is from RNAcentral.
AGAGAAACAAGAAAGAAAUUGACCCUGAUGAAGAAGAAAGUGCCAAGAAAAAGCAUUUGGAUAAGAAGAGAAAAUUGAAGGAGAUGUUUGAUGUGGAAUAUGAUGAAGGAGAAAGCACAUAUUUUGAUGAUCUUAAAGGAGAAAUGCAGAAACAAGCACAGAUAACAGCAUACAGGUUCCCCGCCCCCCGCCCCGUCAUGUACAGCUGAAUCAUGCAGAAUUUGAAGAUCAAGAUGAUGAAGCCAGAGUUCAGUAUGAGGGUUUUCGAC